UUCAACUCCCCUUAUGGAACCGGGUUCUUUGCUGAGUAUGCUGAGAAGAUCCCAGGAGAGUCCACACGGGUGUUGUCGGAGGCAGCCAGGGAUUGUGGGGUCUAUUUAGUGGGCGGUUCCAUUCCUGAGAAGGAUGGAGGAAAGCUCUAUAACACCUGCUCAGUUUUUGGACCUGAUGGAAAGCCGCCUGUCAAACACAGGAAAGGGUGAAGUUGACAAAAGCUGGGUCAGAGGAGGCUUCUGUAUAUGCUGACAUAGUUGCAGGUCUUUCGUUUAGCUGAUUGUAUGGAAAAAGGAGGAUAAUCAAUACAAGAAAAGCUUAAACCAAUGGUUUUGAAUGAAGUUUGCACCAUCUCAAGCUGAUUCAUCCUCUGAAAUGAAACUGUGAAUCACUUCCAGUCAAUCACAGUUAAUAAGCAAGCAUUAUGAAAGUUAGCAGAAUUAACCCAGUAUUUCCAAACCAUGUUACACAUCAGUCUCAGGACAGGAAGCCCAUUGCUCCACAUCGAACAAGAUCAUGUCAGAGCCCUCGCAACAUGAAUCAUCUGCAACACAAAGGAAUGAU
Molecule: long non-coding RNA, 565 nt
Organism: Sinocyclocheilus rhinocerous
Lineage: Eukaryota; Metazoa; Chordata; Actinopteri; Cypriniformes; Cyprinidae
Exons: 4
Source: RefSeq, a predicted model, not a curated record